UAACAAUAAUAUAAGAUUAAAAUUAACCUUCAAAGUUAUAUUACCAAAUCUUAUUUUUAU
RNAcentral lists this transfer RNA (60 nucleotides) under Spinibdella lignicola. RNAcentral's name for it is "tRNA-Trp". Lineage: Eukaryota; Metazoa; Arthropoda; Arachnida; Trombidiformes; Bdellidae. The record is from RNAcentral.